UACGGAGGGUGCAAGCGUUAUCCGGAUUUACUGGGUUUAAAGCGCGUGUAGGCGGCCCGGCACGUCCGUCGCUGAAAUCCCCCGGCUCAACCGGGGAAGGGGCGCGGAUACGACCGGGCUGGAGGGGGGUAGGGGGAGCCGGAACUUCCGGUGGAGCGGUGAAAUGCGUUGAGAUCGGAAGGAACGCCCGUGGCGAAAGCGGGCUCCUGGACCCCACCUGACGCUGAGACGCGAAAGCCAGGGGAGCGAACGGG
Molecule: ribosomal RNA, 254 nt
Filed under: uncultured bacterium
Lineage: Bacteria
Description: partial 16S ribosomal RNA
Rfam family: Bacterial small subunit ribosomal RNA
Source: RNAcentral